GAUGAACGCUGGCGGCGUGCUUAACACAUGCAAGUCGAACGGAAAGGCUCCUGCUUGCAGGGGUACUCGAGUGGCGAACGGGUGAGUAACACGUGGGUGAGCUGCCCUGCACUUCGGGAUAAGCCUGGGAAACUGGGUCUAAUACCGGAUAGGACGAUGGGUUGGAUGCCAUUGUGGAAAGUUUUUCGGUGUGGGAUGAGCUCGCGGCCUAUCAGCUUGUUGGUGGGGUAAUGGCCUACCAAGGCGUCGACGGGUAGCCGGCCUGAGAGGGUGUACGGCCACAUUGGGACUGAGAUACGGCCCAGCCUCCUACGGGAGGCAGCAGUGGGGAAUAUUGCACAAUGGGCGCAAGCCUGAUGCAGCGACGCCGCGUGGGGGAUGACGGCCUUCGGGUUGUAAACUCCUUUCGCUAGGGACGAAGCGCAAGUGACGGUACCUGGAGAAGAAGCACCGGCUAACUACGUG
This 465-nucleotide ribosomal RNA is filed under the name uncultured bacterium. Its description in RNAcentral is "partial 16S ribosomal RNA". It matches the Rfam family "Bacterial small subunit ribosomal RNA", at positions 28 to 507 of the family's 1533-position model. The record is from RNAcentral.